GCCGGGAUGGCGAAAUGGCAGACGCGGCGGACUCAAAAUCCGUUGGGCGCAAGCCCGUGGGGGUUCGACUCCCCCUCCCGGCA
This 83-nucleotide transfer RNA is filed under the name Actinobacteria bacterium RBG_16_67_15. RNAcentral describes it as "tRNA-Leu". It matches the Rfam family "tRNA". Rfam says of the family: Transfer RNA (tRNA) molecules are approximately 80 nucleotides in length. The record is from RNAcentral. Lineage: Bacteria; Bacillati; Actinomycetota.